This 468-nucleotide ribosomal RNA is filed under the name uncultured bacterium. RNAcentral describes it as "partial 16S ribosomal RNA". It matches the Rfam family "Bacterial small subunit ribosomal RNA", at positions 28 to 507 of the family's 1533-position model. The record is from RNAcentral.
GACGAACGCUGGCGGCGUGCUUAACACAUGCAAGUCGAACGGUGAUGCUCCAGCUUGCUGGAGUGGAUCAGUGGCGAACGGGUGAGUAACACGUGAGCAACCUGCCCCAGACUCUGGAAUAAGCGCUGGAAACGGCGUCUAAUACUGGAUACGAAACUGGCCCGCAUGGGCAUGGUUUGGAAAGUUUUUCGGUUUGGGAUGGGCUCGCGGCCUAUCAGCUUGUUGGUGAGGUAAUGGCUCACCAAGGCGACGACGGGUAGCCGGCCUGAGAGGGCGACCGGCCACACUGGGACUGAGACACGGCCCAGACUCCUACGGGAGGCAGCAGUGGGGAAUAUUGCACAAUGGGCGAAAGCCUGAUGCAGCGUCGCCGCGUGAGGGAUGACGGCCUUCGGGUUGUAAACCUCUUUCAGCAGGGAAGAAGCGAAAGUGACGGUACCUGCAGAAGAAGCACCGGCUAACUACGUG